AUAAAGUGCGGGCCAAAAAAAAAGAAAAAAAAGCUCUUCAGGCAGAUGCUACCUCAUAUGUUUGUGGCAGGACCUUCUUCAGCACCCCUAGCCGAUGAUGAUGAUGAUGAUGAUGAUGAUGAUGAUGAUGAUGAUGAUGAUGAUGAUGAUGGCACAGUGAGGAGGCAGAGGCAGUAGAACUGGCGGUAAGCCGGAGCUAACAACGGGCAGACUGCCUGAGUCAACAUGAUGAUGAUGAUCAUGGUUAGCAUUAGGCUAUGCUACACUGGAGCCCAUUAAGAUCCACUUGGUGACACUGAGCAAAAACCUGCUGGCGGAGAACAACCUAGCCGCAAAGUUAUGGUGACAACAGUACAAUAAAACAAACUCUGCACACUCUGCUCCGCCUCAGGUGUAGUUUGCUAGCUAGCUAGCUAGCUAGUUAGUUAUAAAGUUAUCGUUACGAGGUCCCAGUGGCUAACACAGUUUGUAGACGUUUGCUAGCGGCUAGCUAGCGAGCUAGCUGUCUGUGUGUGUAUGAUUUCCCUGGUGAGCUAAAAAUAUCUUUCAGUGCGGCUCAGAUACGUUGUCUGAUUGGAAGCACGUCGUUAUUUGGUCGGCCUCCAUUCAUCAGCAUUAACAGACGCCUUCACAUGUUUGUUAAAGGGUACAUCGAAGGGAGUCCACCCGAUUCCUUUUUGACUCGGAUUCCAUCGCUUGUCUCAGGAUUCAUCAGUGAAUUAAUCAGAGUGGAGUAUACAGUUUCACAACGCCACUUUUUGAAGAUGACGGGAAACGAGGGGAAAGAGAUGGGGAAGGACUUGCAACAGUGGUCCCUAGCUGGAGUUGAACCAGGAACGCUGUGACUCAUGCUUCUCCGUCUUGGUGAGAAUUGAUACAUAAUGGCAGCAGUUGGACCGUGAAGUCGAAGCCUGCAAAUAACAACACGUAUAGCGCCUGGGUUGCCAUGGCGACGGACUCGCAGCCCACAAGGCGCGAUGGGAGCCGCUGUAACGCUGCGGGUGUAAUGUCAGUCGUCUUCCUCGGCAUCUUCCCACCGCCGAACAUGCACACGAGCCCUUCCCUCUACGUGGUGGGGGGAUUUUAAAUGUCAGUUUAUUUCUACACGGCUGUAUUUUGGAAGAAAGAAAACACAACUCGUUUUUCAUCACCAUUCACGCUACAGCGCCUAUGACCCCAUUCACGCUCUCAUGUUCCGCUCAGAGAGUGUAUCUCAGACCUCAUGAUCAGGACAGUAGUGGUAAAUAAAAAGCUGUCCUCGCCUCAGCCCAGAAAGACGGAACUUUUCAGUCUCCAUUCUCACACACACACACACACACACACACACACACACACUCUAUAGUCUUUAUUAACGAUCAGUGUUUGACUUGUAGAUGAAAAAUAACUAUUUUGUGUUUCAUAAUAACUGAGACUAUCUUCAAAUGUCACUGCUAUGUCCACAAAAGUUACUGCUGUAAACACCAAUUUAACAACCUAACACACAAUAACAUAAAUAAUACACUGCUGUGUAGUGUUAGUCUCCUGUAUUAAAAGCUCUGUCAGUCAUUUCAUAGCAGGGAUCAAAUCUGGUGUUUUUAAUUUUGUUACUGGAGCUGCCCUUUUGUUUACAU
Molecule: long non-coding RNA, 1610 nt
Organism: Xiphias gladius (swordfish)
Lineage: Eukaryota; Metazoa; Chordata; Actinopteri; Istiophoriformes; Xiphiidae
Exons: 5
Source: RefSeq, a predicted model, not a curated record